GACGAACGCUGGCGGCGUGCUUAACACAUGCAAGUCGACAUGAGUGGCGAACGGGUGAGUAAUACGUGGGUAACCUGCCCUCCUUUUUGGGAUAAGCCUUGGAAACGGGGUCUAAUACCGAAUAAAGGGGGAUGGGCUCGCGGGCUAUCAGCUUGUUGGUUGGGUGAUGGCUUACCAAGGCGGUGACGGGUAGCCGGCCGGAGAGGGUGAACGGGACCAUUGGGAAUGAGAGACGGCCCAGAAUCAUACGGGAGGCAGGAGUGGGGGAUAGUGCGCAAAGGGCGAAAGUCUGGUGCAGCGACGCCGCGGUGGGGAAGAAGGCUUUCGGGUUGUAAAGUAAUUUCAGCGGGGAGGCGUUAACCGCAGAAGAAGCAACGGCUAACUACGUGCCAGCAGCCGCGGUAAUUC
RNAcentral lists this ribosomal RNA (408 nucleotides) under uncultured bacterium. Its description in RNAcentral is "partial 16S ribosomal RNA". It matches the Rfam family "Bacterial small subunit ribosomal RNA", at positions 28 to 526 of the family's 1533-position model. The record is from RNAcentral.